CACGUAGGGGGCAAGCGUUGUCCGGACUUAUUGGGCGUAAAGAGCUCGUAGGCUGUUCGAUAAGUCGGGUGUGCAACCUCCAGGCUCAACCUGGAGACGCCACCCGAUACUGUCAUGACUAGAGUCCGGUAGGGGAGCGUGGAAUUCCUGGUGUAGCGGUGAAAUGCGCAGAUAUCAGGAGGAACACCAGCGGCGAAGGCGGCGCUCUGGGCCGGUACUGACGCUGAGGAGCGAAAGCGUGGGUAGCAAACAGG
Molecule: ribosomal RNA, 254 nt
Filed under: uncultured bacterium
Lineage: Bacteria
Description: partial 16S ribosomal RNA
Rfam family: Bacterial small subunit ribosomal RNA
Source: RNAcentral